UCGAAUUUUUUAAUGAUGAUAAAAAUUUCUGUGCAUAGUUCAACUGAUUGAACUACAAAAUGAAGAUAAAAACAACCAUCAAAUUUAGUCUUUUGCUCCUAUCUGAAUUUUA
Molecule: small nucleolar RNA, 112 nt
Filed under: Torulaspora delbrueckii CBS 1146
Lineage: Eukaryota; Fungi; Ascomycota; Saccharomycetes; Saccharomycetales; Saccharomycetaceae
Description: Small nucleolar RNA snR60/Z15/Z230/Z193/J17
Rfam family: Small nucleolar RNA snR60/Z15/Z230/Z193/J17 (bases 10-106)
About the family: The members of this family belong to the C/D class of snoRNAs which contain the C (UGAUGA) and D (CUGA) box motifs.
Source: Rfam by way of RNAcentral